UUAUAAGAAUCUAAAAUUUAGUAUUUAAUUUCGACUUAAAAAUAGAGAAUAAUCUCCUUAUUUA
Molecule: transfer RNA, 64 nt
Filed under: Orthotrichia sp. XG-2021
Lineage: Eukaryota; Metazoa; Arthropoda; Insecta; Trichoptera; Hydroptilidae
Description: tRNA-Arg
Source: RNAcentral